RNAcentral lists this ribosomal RNA (466 nucleotides) under uncultured bacterium. Its description in RNAcentral is "partial 16S ribosomal RNA". It matches the Rfam family "Bacterial small subunit ribosomal RNA", at positions 28 to 507 of the family's 1533-position model. The record is from RNAcentral.
GAUGAACGCUGGCGGCGUGCUUAACACAUGCAAGUCGAACGAUAAAGCCCAGCUUGCUGGGUGUGUUCGUGGCGAACGGGUGAGUGAAACGUGAGUAUCAUGUGCUUAACUCUGGGGUAUGCCUGGAGAACUCUGGCUAAUAUAGGAUAUAAGCGCCUCCCGCACGGUGUGGGUUGUGGAGAUUUAUCGGUUUUGGAUGGACUCGCGGCCUAUCUCCUUGUUUGGGUGGUAAUGGCGCACCCAGGCGCCGACGGGUAUCCGGCCUGGGAGGGGGACCGGGCACACUGGGAAUGAGACACGGGCCAGACUCCUUCGGGGGGCAAGAGGGGGGAAUAUUGCACCAUGGGGGAAAGCCUUGAGGAGCGAACCCGGGGUGGGGAAGACGGGCUUCGGGGUGUAAACCUCUUUCAGUCGGGAAGAAGCGAUAGGUAAGGUACCUGGAGAAGAAGGACCGGCUAACUACGUG